Molecule: ribosomal RNA, 506 nt
Filed under: uncultured bacterium
Lineage: Bacteria
Description: partial 16S ribosomal RNA
Rfam family: Bacterial small subunit ribosomal RNA
Source: RNAcentral
AGUGAACGCUGGCGGUAGGCCUAACACAUGCAAGUCGAACGGCAGCACAGGAGAGCUUGCUCUCUGGGUGGCGAGUGGCGGACGGGUGAGGAAUACAUCGGAAUCUACUUUUUCGUGGGGGAUAACGUAGGGAAACUUACGCUAAUACCGCAUACGACCUACGGGUGAAAGCAGGGGAUCUUCGGACCUUGCGCGAUUGAAUGAGCCGAUUUCGGAUUAGCUAGUUGGCGGGGUAAAGGCCCCCCAAGGCGACGAUCCGUAGCUGGUCUGAGAGGAUGAUCAGCCACACUGGAACUGAGACACGGUCCAGACUCCUACGGGAGGCAGCAGUGGGGAAUAUUGGACAAUGGGCGCAAGCCUGAUCCAGCCAUACCGCGUGGGUGAAGAAGGCCUUCGGGUUGUAAAGCCCUUUUGUUGGGAAAGAAAUCCAGCUGGUUAAUACCCGGUUGGGAUGACGGUACCCAAAGAAUAAGCAUCGGCUAACUUCGUGCCAGCCGCCGCCGUAA